AUACGGAGGAUGCAAGCGGUAUCCGGAUUUAUUGGGUUUAAAGGGUGCGUAGGCGGUUUGCUAAGCGGGAGGUGAAAUGCCGGCGCUCAACGUCGGAAGUGCCUCCCGAACUGGUGGACUGGAAUGACUCUGCCGUGGGAGGAAUGUGUAGGGUAGCGGUGAAAUGCUUAGAGAUUACACAGAACACCGAUUGCGAAGGCAUCUCACGAAGGGUUGAUUGACGCUGAGGCACGAAAGCGUGGGGAUCAAACAGGAUUAGAUACCCUGGUAGUCCACGCAGUAAACGAUGAUGGCUAACCGCUGGUUUAUUCGGAUCAGUGGCCAAGCGAAAGCGAUAAGCCAUCCACCUGGGGAGUACGACCGCAAGGUUGAAACUCAAAGGAAUUGGCGGGG
This 393-nucleotide ribosomal RNA is filed under the name uncultured bacterium. Its description in RNAcentral is "partial 16S ribosomal RNA". It matches the Rfam family "Bacterial small subunit ribosomal RNA", at positions 523 to 918 of the family's 1533-position model. The record is from RNAcentral.